RNAcentral lists this non-coding RNA (30 nucleotides) under Rattus norvegicus (Norway rat). The record is from RNAcentral. Lineage: Eukaryota; Metazoa; Chordata; Mammalia; Rodentia; Muridae.
UACAGUACUUCUUUAAAAGUAGUUUUGUGU